This 495-nucleotide ribosomal RNA is filed under the name uncultured bacterium. Its description in RNAcentral is "partial 16S ribosomal RNA". It matches the Rfam family "Bacterial small subunit ribosomal RNA", at positions 28 to 507 of the family's 1533-position model. The record is from RNAcentral.
GACGAACGCUGGCGGCGUGCCUAAUACAUGCAAGUAGAACGAAGAGGGAGGGGAUUUCUCCUCUAGCAGAGUUGGGGACGGGCGGGUGAGUAAUAGGUAACCAACCUGCUCUCGAGAGGGGAAUAUCAGAAGCGAAAGACAGUAAAUCCUGCAAACAGUUGAAUCAUGGCAUUGAGUAAAAAUGAAAAGUGGCCUCAAUACGAAAGGGACCUGCGUAGGAUUAGCUAGUUGGUGAGGUAACGGCUCACCAAGGCACGGAUACAUAGCCGGCCUGAGAGGGUGAACGGCCACACUGGGACUGAGACACGGCCCAGACUCCUACGGGAGGCAGCAGUGGGGAAUCUUCCGCAAUAGACGGAAGUCUGACCGAGCAACGCCGCGUGAGUGAUGACGGCUUUCGGAUCGUAAAGCUCUGUUAUUCGGGAAGAACGGGUUUCUUGCUAGUAAUGACACGCAUUGACGGUACCUGACCAGAAAGCCACGGCUAACUACGUG